Molecule: unclassified non-coding RNA, 256 nt
Filed under: Hevea brasiliensis (rubber tree)
Lineage: Eukaryota; Viridiplantae; Streptophyta; Magnoliopsida; Malpighiales; Euphorbiaceae
Source: RNAcentral
GAAAGAUUUACUAUGAGCUUGAUGACGAGCGAACUAAGGCAGAUGGAAAGGACGUUGCAAUAUGUAGAGUUGAACAACUUUGCCCCUUUCCUUAUGACCUUAUCCAGCGGGAGCUGAAGCGAUAUCCGAAUGCCGAGAUCGUCUGGUGCCAGGAGGAGCCAAUGAACAUGGGUGCAUUUACCUACAUUUCUCCCCGUCUUGCCACUGCCAUGAGGGCUCUUGGAAGAGGCUCGUCAGAAGACAUUAAAUAUGUGGG